Molecule: ribosomal RNA, 492 nt
Filed under: uncultured bacterium
Lineage: Bacteria
Description: bacterial SSU rRNA
Rfam family: Bacterial small subunit ribosomal RNA
Source: RNAcentral
GAGUUUGAUCCUGGCUCAGGAUGAACGCUAGCGGCAGGCUUAAUACAUGCAAGUCGAGGGGUAAGGCUCAUUUCGGUGAGUACACGACCGGCGCACGGGUGCGUAACGCGUAUGCAACCUACCUUUAACAGGGGGAUAGCCCGAAGAAAUUCGGAUUAACACCCCAUAAUAUUGUUUUACGGCAUCAUAGGACAAUUAAAACUCCGGUGGUUAAAGAUGGGCAUGCGUGACAUUAGCUGGUUGGUGAGGUAACGGCUCACCAAGGCGACGAUGUCUAGGGGUUUUGAGAGGAUGAUCCCCCACACUGGUACUGAGACACGGACCAGACUCCUACGGGAGGCAGCAGUAAGGAAUAUUGGUCAAUGGGCGCAAGCCUGAACCAGCCAUGCCGCGUGCAGGAAGACAGCCUUAUGGGUUGUAAACUGCUUUUAUACGGAAAGAAAAUUCACUACGUGUAGGGACUGACGGUACCGUAAGAAUAAGCAUCGGCUA